CAGUAGCCGCGGGAAUACGGAGGGGGCUAGCGUUGUUCGGAAUUACUGGGCGUAAAGCGCACGUAGGCGGCUUUGUAAGUUAGAGGUGAAAGCCCGGAGCUCAACUCCGGAAUUGCCUUUAAGACUGCAGAGCUAGCAGGUGAGAGAGGUGAGUGGAAUUCCGAGUGUAGAGGUGAAAUUCGUAGAUAUUCGGAAGAACACCAGUGGCGAAGGCGGCUCACUGGCUCAUACUGGACGCUGAGGUGCGAAAGCGUGGGGAGCAAACAGGAUUAGAUACCCGCGUAGUCCCUGUCUCUUAUAC
This 301-nucleotide ribosomal RNA is filed under the name uncultured bacterium. Its description in RNAcentral is "partial 16S ribosomal RNA". It matches the Rfam family "Bacterial small subunit ribosomal RNA", at positions 509 to 807 of the family's 1533-position model. The record is from RNAcentral.